This is a long non-coding RNA of Bos taurus (domestic cattle), 397 nucleotides long. NCBI's taxonomy places the organism in Eukaryota, Metazoa, Chordata, Mammalia, Artiodactyla, Bovidae. The record is from Ensembl.
AUCCUUUGAGGAAAGGGCACAUUGUUAAGUUUGUUAAAAGCUAUAAUGGGCAUCUUGAGUCUUUUCCUCAGAGUCUACGUUGUUUGUCUCCAAGUUGAGCUUGAGAAGCUGAACUGUUUUAGAGAUGCCCAGAACCUAGCCUCCACCUCUUCACAACACAGAUCAGAUACCACCUGGAAUCCUGUGGUCAGUUCUGGAUUCCUUUGGAGAACACUUUGGGAGUGGCAAAAGUAAAUUGGACUCCACAGUGGGUAUGAGGAUGGAGAUAAGACCUUGGAUCCAUAUGGCAAAAGAGCCUGGAGAUGUUCAUCCAAAACCAAGCCAAUCAAGAGGGAGUCAUUAUAACCACCUUUAAAUAAAGAACUGUUCUACAUAAUUAAAAAAACAAAAAUAAAAA